Long non-coding RNA from Athene cunicularia (burrowing owl), 1274 nucleotides. RefSeq lists it as uncharacterized. The transcript has 6 exons. Lineage: Eukaryota; Metazoa; Chordata; Aves; Strigiformes; Strigidae. The record is from RefSeq and is a predicted model, not a curated record.
UGCUCGCCCCAGCUCUCGCCUUCCCCGAAGCUGGUAAGAGCCGUUUGGAUAUCGCAGCGAGAACUCCGGAGUGGCUCGCAGCAGCGGUGCGUCUCCGGGGAAGGGGGCACGCCGUUCCUCCAGCUCUGCGUGCCGAGCUCAGAGCCCCGAUAAACGCAAGGAACUAUCUGUGGGUUUGAAUUAAGAUUCUGAAAACACCCGGUGUCUUCUUCACAGAGCUUGCAUCAAGAUAACAGAAGAUCUUGUUCUAUUCUUCUUGUAUUGAAAGGGAGACUUGACAAUGACAUAAAGGUGGGGAAGAAUGGCCCUGCAGCUUCUCUGACAUGGAAGGAUCUACAUAGAUGCAUACGUCAACAGCAAACCAGUCACACUUGAUAUUCCAGGAUAAACUGACCUUAGAGGAAUCAAACUGCGAUCAAUAACUGAGACAAGAAUUGGCUCUUGUUCUUCACUCUGAAUAUAUUCCUGUUGUCUUCUUUCACAGAGGACCAGUAUGCAUUUGGAAUGGUGUAGGUUUGGAUAGAAAGCAACAGACUGCAAUUUAAAAUUUACAGAUGAGGCAUGCAAUCAACUGCAUAUAGGUAACUGCAAUCCAACCUAUGUGGCAGCCAGUCUGUCAGAAAUUUGCUCCCUUUGAUGCAAACCUUUACAGCACAGUUCUUUUUGGCUCAUCUUCCAUGUAUCAAAGCCACCUGAUACAGGACUACUGCUUUGGGAAUGAUAAGUAACAUUGCCUGUGCUUGAAUCUGAGUGACAGUGUCUCUUCCCAGAAGCAGGAUCCUUUUAUAUUCUUUCUCUUAUUAGUUCUCUUUUGAAGUCCACAUAUCUGCAGCAUUCAGCAAACCAAACCUAUCAGCUUCUGUCAUGAAAGCUUCAUUCUUUAUCUUUAUUCCUAGUAUUUUAUUAUUACAAGCAAUCCUGUCUGAAACUGUUUCUUGAAGGAAGUCACAAGGAAUAAUAGACUACUCCAGAUUUUGAGACAUGCUUUCCUGUCACUGUACUUAGAUAUAAUAAUUAGGAAGGAGCCAACAGUUGCACCUUAAAAAAUAGUUUGAUUAGAGUUUGAUUCUUGAUUAAAUUAGAAGAUCUCCGUCAGCAGCUUACAACUGUUAUUUGUUCAACUUGAAUUGGUUUCCCUGAGCCAAUAAUGAGAAUCUAUUCCCUAGAAAGUUUGUCCAAGUUAUUACGCUUUUAUAAUUAGUCUAAUAAUGUAUAAUAUAAUAUUAACUAAGACAGCAGGUCGUGAUAUUUAUUGUAUAAAACUGUUUUCUCAG